UUGAGGAGAGGUUCCGGAAGGGUCUGUGAGGUUCCGGAAGGUUCCAGCGCCCCCUCAGGCACUGCCAAGCCUCUCAGCGCCCUGAGGUGCCUCAGGGGCACCGGCUGAGGAGAGGGCUCUGUGAGCCUCGGGCUGUGGGGUGCUCUGGAUGCCAGGAGUCCAAAACAAUAUUGCCAAUGGUGAGAAACCAUUUCUGACAAGUCAGAAGACACACCUGCAACGUUCCGGGCUGAAGCAGAAAGAACAACCUCUAGAAAUACAAGAUGGGAAAGCUCCGAGAACGUUCCACAGCACAGAAAGAAGAUUCCCUGAAGAAGCAGCAACUGUUUUUGAGAUAUCAGUCCACUCGGAUUAGAUCUUUUUGCAUGGAUCUGAAAGCUAAUGAAUCUUUGAGGAAGCUUCAGUCAGCAUUAUCCCUCUGUAUUGCAAACGACGUAUUGGAUCUUCAAGCUGUUGUGGUGAGUUCAUUCAUUCUUGCUUCCUACCAACUCAGGAGGAAUGAUGAAAGUUGGGCUUCUUGUACUGUUCUACACACCGGGUGAUGCUGGAGAUGGAAACUUCCUGCUGCCACUCUCUCUUUCUUCCUUUGCCUUGCUGUUAUCUUAGUAAUGAUUGAAAAUACUUACUGCUACUGUUUCACUUCACAUAAGUUCCUUUUUAAGAAAAACUAAGAGGAAUUACGUGUAACAGCAGAAAUAAUGACAGUCUUUGUGUGCUAUCUGUCAUAAGCUUUUUAACCUUAAGGUCGCUUUUUCCGUUGGUAUGAUUUAGAAGUGCAUGUAGCAACAGUGAUUGUAAUGCAGUAUGUUAGACCAGCAUAAGCUCAAAAAACAUCUCUCCUGAAAGAUAUGUCUUCUUCAGCACAACAGGAUUGAAGAUCCCUUUUAGAAAAUGUUUGUAAUAUUGAUGUUAAUUUUUAAUCUGUACCUCAGCCAUUUCUGCUGAUUUAUUGCCUGAAAAUAAGCAAAAUCUGCUAAGCUGCUGUCCAAUAUUUUUACAUUAAUUUCGUGCAGCUAAAUACUUAGA
Gallus gallus (chicken) is the source of this 1026-nucleotide long non-coding RNA. RefSeq lists it as uncharacterized. Lineage: Eukaryota; Metazoa; Chordata; Aves; Galliformes; Phasianidae. The transcript is spliced from 3 exons. The record is from RefSeq and is a predicted model, not a curated record.